CAAACUUUGCUAAGGCUCUCUUGAAUAAAGCUUAUAAAUACUACUCUUGGUGGUAGAUUAAAAUGUCAUCUACAUUAUUUGUACUAUUUAUUUCUCAACUUUGAAAGUAUAAUUAACAAGAAUUAUUACCAUGGCACAAAAACUUGUUAUCCUUUUCACCACUCUUCUUGUUGUUAUGGCUGCUCAUAAUUCAUUUUACUCCACCAAAAUUCAUGUGAUGGCCCAAGAAGAUAUACAACAAAUUACAACAAAAUUAUUUCAAGAAGAUCAAGAUCCAAUUUGUGGAAAACCAUGUAAUACACAUGAUGAUUGCUCUGAUGCUUGGCUUUGUCAAGCGUGUUGGAAUUUCAGAAAAACGUGUGGUCCAUUUGUUGGCUAAUUAAGACAUGAUCAUGGGCCUAUAAUUUCAACAUUUAGUCACUUAAUUAGAUAAAUAAAUAACUUAAGUGACCAAAGUGUACUUGUUCAAAGAAAAAAUUAUGUGGCUAAGAAAUAAACUUUGAGUAUAAUGUGUUAUUUAUCAAUUAAAUAAAAGAUCAUGUGAUUAUGUGGCA
Molecule: long non-coding RNA, 554 nt
Organism: Solanum tuberosum (potato)
Lineage: Eukaryota; Viridiplantae; Streptophyta; Magnoliopsida; Solanales; Solanaceae
Exons: 2
Source: RefSeq, a predicted model, not a curated record